This 575-nucleotide ribosomal RNA is filed under the name Candidatus Mycoplasma haematobovis. RNAcentral describes it as "bacterial SSU rRNA". It matches the Rfam family "Bacterial small subunit ribosomal RNA", at positions 344 to 938 of the family's 1533-position model. The record is from RNAcentral. Lineage: Bacteria; Bacillati; Mycoplasmatota; Mollicutes; Mycoplasmatales; Mycoplasmataceae.
GGAAGCAGCAGUAGGGAAUCUUCCACAAUGGACGAAAGUCUGAUGGAGCAAUACCAUGUGAACGAUGAAGGUCUUUUUGAUUGUAAAGUUCUUUUAUGAGGGAUAACAACUGAUAGUACCUCAUGAAUAAGUGACAGCAAACUAUGUGCCAGCAGCUGCGGUAAUACAUAGGUCGCAAGCAUUAUUCGGAUUUAUUGGGCGUAAAGCAAGCGCAGGCGGAUGUGUAAGUUCUGUGUUAAAAGUAGCUACUUAAUAGUUGUUUGCACCGAAUACUACAUGUCUAGAAUGUGGUAGGAAGUUUUGGAAUUAAACAUGGAGCGGUGGAAUGUGUAGAUAUGUUUAAGAACACCGGAGGCGAAGGCGAAAACUUAGGCCAUAAUUGACGCUUAGGCUUGAAAGUGUGGGGAGCAAAUGGGAUUAGAUACCCCAGUAGUCCACACCGUAAACGAUGGGUAUUAGGUAUUGGGGUUUGAGCCUCAGUGCUGUAGCUAACGUGUUAAAUACCCCGCCUGGGUAGUACAUAUGCAAAUAUGAAACUCAAAGGAAUUGACGGGGACCUGAACAAGUGGUGGAGC